Molecule: ribosomal RNA, 490 nt
Filed under: uncultured bacterium
Lineage: Bacteria
Description: partial 16S ribosomal RNA
Rfam family: Bacterial small subunit ribosomal RNA
Source: RNAcentral
AUUGAACGCUGGCGGCAGGCCUAACACAUGCAAGUCGAACGGUAACAGGAAGCAGCUUGCUGCUUCGCUGACGAGUGGCGGACGGGUGAGUAAUGUCUGGGAAGCUGCCUGAUGGAGGGGGAUAACUACUGGAAACGGUAGCUAAUACCGCAUAAUGUCGCAAGACCAAAGAGGGGGACCUACGGGCCUCUUGCCAUCGGAUGUGCCCAGAUGGGAUUAGCUUGUUGGUGGGGUAACGGCUCACCAAGGCGACGAUCCCUAGCUGGUCUGAGAGGAUGACCAGCCACACUGGGACUGAGACACGGUCCAGACUCCUACGGGAGGCAGCAGUGGGGAAUAUUGCACAAUGGGCGCAAGCCUGAUGCAGCCAUGCCGCGUGUAUGAAGAAGGCCUUCGGGUUGUAAAGUACUUUCAGCGGGGAGGAAGGGAGUAAAGUUAAUACCUUUGCUCAUUGACGUUACCCGCAGAAGAAGCACCGGCUAACUCCGUG